UAUAUUAUUAUUAUUUUAGUUUAGUAUAAGGUAUAACCUAUUAAUUAUUAUUACUUAUAUUUGUAUUUUAUAAGUUUUUAAUUAGGAAACACAAGUUUAAUGUUUUAUAUUAGAAUAUUCAGGUUAUCAUGAUUAGUGGUGGACUAUGCCAAAAGGAUACCAGGACUUGCUGAUACAAAUGGACGCAAUCGGAACAUAAAAGGCGACAAUCAUUAUUACGGACCGACAAAGGCAGAUACAAUCCGUACCGACAAAAACACCCUUGUCAAGGAUGUUUUUCGCUUCGUCUCUCUAUACGUAUUUAUCUAUGACUGUUGGUACAAUAUACCACAGUGCCCACGACAUACCUACAAGUUACAACCUACAUGACUACAUAUUAAGCAAUAUCACAUACUUACUCAAAUAUUUCUAUUAAAAAUUAUAAUUAAAUUUUAAUAUUAUACUGUUAUAUUCAUUCGUAAAUCGAAAAGUAAUUAAAUAUAAAAACUAUUAGAAA
Aphis gossypii (cotton aphid) is the source of this 496-nucleotide long non-coding RNA. RefSeq lists it as uncharacterized. The transcript has 4 exons. The record is from RefSeq and is a predicted model, not a curated record. NCBI's taxonomy places the organism in Eukaryota, Metazoa, Arthropoda, Insecta, Hemiptera, Aphididae.